Molecule: ribosomal RNA, 464 nt
Filed under: uncultured bacterium
Lineage: Bacteria
Description: partial 16S ribosomal RNA
Rfam family: Bacterial small subunit ribosomal RNA
Source: RNAcentral
GACGAACGCUGGCGGCGUGCUUAACACAUGCAAGUCGUACGGUAAGGCCCUUUCGGGGGUACACGAGUGGCGAACGAGUGAGUAACACGUGCGUAACCUGCCCACACCUUUGGGAUAACGCUAGGCAACUGGUUCUAAUACUGGCUGUGUGCUCCUGCUGCAUGGUGGGGGUUGGAAAGCUCCGGCGGGUGGGGAUGGACUCGCGGCCUGUCAGCUUGUUGGUGGGGUAGUGGCUUACCAAGGCGGCGACGGGUAGCCGGCCUGGGAGGGUGACCGGCCACAUUGGGACUGAGAUAGGGCCCAGACUCCUACGGGAGGCAGCAGUGGGGAAUAUUGCACAAUGGGCGGAAGCCUGAUGCAGCAACGCCGCGUGCGGGAUGACGGCCUUCGGGUUGUAAACCGCUUUAGCCUGUGACGAAGCGUGAGUGACGGUAAUGGGUAAAGAAGCACCGGCUAACUACGUG